CCCUUCUCUGGGCCCCGCUCAUAGUGGGCGUGGCCUGGUAUUGCUCCUCAGGCACUGGGAUAUGGCGUAACCAUGGGUAGUAAGAUGGCGGCUGUCACUAGAGUCGUACAGGUAGUCAAGCCACAUACUCCCUUAAUAAAGUUCCCAGACAGAAAAAGUAGUCCCAGACCUAAAAUACUGGAAUCUCUACAAACAAGUAUGCCAUCUCUUGGUGCUUCAAAAGCACAGGAGUCUGUAGGAGGCAGAUCACCAGGAUUUCAAAAUAUUUCACCGGUUAGGAGAGUACAAGGUAUACCAGACACUUCUGAAUCAACAAGAACCUUACCUCAGAAAUACAGACGAAAACUAAUGUCAGAUGAAGAGAUUGAUUAUAUUCAAUGCUGUGUUUAUCAGACCUUUCUAAAGUGAGUAAGAGACAUGUUUCUUCAGAGUGGGAGAACUGGAAGAAGCUAUAAAUAUAGGUUGCAGCUUGGAGGUCCAGAAUAAAUAUAGAAGAUUAUUUGCCACUGUUGAAGAGUGAAAUAUUACAUUCACAAUAAAAGCAUUUCCUUAAUAUUA
RNA transcript from Pyrgilauda ruficollis (rufous-necked snowfinch), 558 nucleotides. It is a transcript of the gene named 28S ribosomal protein S36, mitochondrial-like, with no coding region annotated. The transcript has 5 exons. The record is from RefSeq and is a predicted model, not a curated record. NCBI's taxonomy places the organism in Eukaryota, Metazoa, Chordata, Aves, Passeriformes, Passeridae.